GACGAACGCUGGCGGCGUGCUUAACACAUGCAAGUCGAACGGAAAGGCCCUGCUUUUGUGGGGUGCUCGAGUGGCGAACGGGUGAGUAACACGUGAGUAACCUGCCCUUGACUUUGGGAUAACUUCAGGAAACUGGGGCUAAUACCGGAUAGGAGCUCCUGCUGCAUGGUGGGGGUUGGAAAGUUUCGGCGGUUGGGGAUGGACUCGCGGCUUAUCAGCUUGUUGGUGGGGUAGUGGCUUACCAAGGCUUUGACGGGUAGCCGGCCUGAGAGGGUGACCGGGCACAUUGGGACUGAGAUACGGACCAGACUCCUACGGGAGGCAGCAGUGGGGAAUAUUGCACAAUGGGCGGAAGCCUGAUGCAGCAACGCCGCGUGCGGGAUGACGGCCUUCGGGUUGUAAACCGCUUUCGCCUGUGACGAAGCGUGAGUGACGGUAAUGGGUAAAGAAGCACCGGCUAACUACGUG
Molecule: ribosomal RNA, 468 nt
Filed under: uncultured bacterium
Lineage: Bacteria
Description: partial 16S ribosomal RNA
Rfam family: Bacterial small subunit ribosomal RNA
Source: RNAcentral